GACGAACGCUGGCGGCGUGCUUAACACAUGCAAGUCGAACGGUGAAGCUCCAGCUUGCUGGAGUGGAUCAGUGGCGAACGGGUGAGUAACACGUGAGCAACCUGCCCCUGACUCUGGAAUAAGCGCUGGAAACGGCGUCUAAUACUGGAUACGAGAAGGGUCCGCAUGGGCACAUUCUGGAAAGUUUUUCGGUUGGGGAUGGGCUCGCGGCCUAUCAGCUUGUUGGUGAGGUAAUGGCUCACCAAGGCGACGACGGGUAGCCGGCCUGAGAGGGCGACCGGCCACACUGGGACUGAGACACGGCCCAGACUCCUACGGGAGGCAGCAGUGGGGAAUAUUGCACAAUGGGCGAAAGCCUGAUGCAGCGACGCCGCGUGAGGGAUGACGGCCUUCGGGUUGUAAACCUCUUUCAGCAGGGAAGAAGCGAAAGUGACGGUACCUGCAGAAGAAGCACCGGCUAACUACGUG
This 468-nucleotide ribosomal RNA is filed under the name uncultured bacterium. RNAcentral's name for it is "partial 16S ribosomal RNA". It matches the Rfam family "Bacterial small subunit ribosomal RNA", at positions 28 to 507 of the family's 1533-position model. The record is from RNAcentral.